Molecule: ribosomal RNA, 470 nt
Filed under: uncultured bacterium
Lineage: Bacteria
Description: bacterial SSU rRNA
Rfam family: Bacterial small subunit ribosomal RNA
Source: RNAcentral
GACGAACGCUGGCGGUGCGCCUUAUGCAUGCAAGUCGAGCGAAGCUUUUCAGUAGUUUACUACAGAAAAUGACUGAGCGGCGAACGGGUGAGUAACGCGUGAGCAAUCUACCUUAGUUACAGGGAUAGCCCGAGGAAACUCGGAUUAAUACCUGAUAUUCUUUAUAUUUCGCAUGAAAUUAAAAGGAAAGGUCAGCCGAACUAAGAUGAGCUCGCGUUCUAUCAGCUAGUUGGUGAGGUAAAAGCUCACCAAGGCUACGACGGAUAGCUGGUCUGAGAGGACGAUCAGCCACACUGGGACUGAGACACGGCCCAGACUCCUACGGGAGGCUGCAGCAGGGAAUAUUGCGCAAUGAGCGAAAGCUUGACGCAGCGACACCGCGUGUGGGAUGACGGAUCUAGGUUUGUAAACCACUUUCAGGAGGGAAGAAAAUGACGGUACCUCCACAAGAAGCCCCGGCCAACUACGUG